Molecule: ribosomal RNA, 232 nt
Filed under: uncultured Enterobacterales bacterium
Lineage: Bacteria; Pseudomonadati; Pseudomonadota; Gammaproteobacteria; Enterobacterales
Description: partial 16S ribosomal RNA
Rfam family: Bacterial small subunit ribosomal RNA
Source: RNAcentral
CGGACGGGUGAGUAAUGUCUGGUAAACUGCCUGAUGGAGGGGGAUAACUACUGGAAACGGUAGCUAAUACCGCAUAACGUCGCAAGACCAAAGAGGGGGACCUUCGGGCCUCUUGCCAUCAGAUGUGCCCAGAUGGGAUUAGCUAGUAGGUGGGGUAACGGCUCACCUAGGCGACGAUCCCUAGCUGGUCUGAGAGGAUGACCAGCCACACUGUAACUGAGACACGGUCCAG